This 324-nucleotide ribosomal RNA is filed under the name Triticum aestivum (bread wheat). RNAcentral's name for it is "partial small subunit ribosomal RNA". Lineage: Eukaryota; Viridiplantae; Streptophyta; Magnoliopsida; Poales; Poaceae. The record is from RNAcentral.
AUGACCAACCAACACAUGCGUCUCGGUGUCAAAUCAAAAUACCCUUUCCAACAAUCCUGGCUGUACAUGCCUACCUUACUCCACCAUGAUGUGAAAUUCUCUUGGAAAAACAUCUACAGCCUGAAGAAGCUGGUGAGUGAUCCGCCAAUGAAGCUGCCCGCCAAUUGGUCUCUCUCUGCAAUUUCCCACAGCUUUAUUGAACUGCAGAUCUUGCCGGCAGAAGCUAGCAUCAACCAAUUGCAGAUGCAGUUCAAGAAAGCUGUGGAAGACAGCAAAGAGGGCCACACACAUCUCACAAGGAAACUAGCAUCCAACACCGAGUAG